GAAAUAUGAUGCCCAAAAAAAAGCUGCUAACUUUUUUUUUUAGCGGUUAAAUUCCGUUUAUAUUUCU
RNAcentral lists this transfer RNA (67 nucleotides) under Taeniochauliodes natalensis. RNAcentral describes it as "tRNA-Ser". Lineage: Eukaryota; Metazoa; Arthropoda; Insecta; Megaloptera; Corydalidae. The record is from RNAcentral.